GAUUUGUCUCAUUCAAAGUUUCCGUGUCCAACUUUAAUCGUCCGUCUUAUUUAAAAUUUUUUUAUGAUUAGUAUUUUUAUUGUUAUUAGAUGAUAAAAUAUGAAUAGUACUUUAUGCGUGACUUAUGUUUUUUAAUUUUUUACAAAAAAAAUUAAAUAAGACAGACAAUUAAAUUUGGAAAAAAAAACCCACGGUUGUACUUAAA
This is a microRNA precursor of Oryza sativa Japonica Group (Japanese rice), 205 nucleotides long. It matches the Rfam family "MIR812 microRNA precursor family". The record is from Rfam. Lineage: Eukaryota; Viridiplantae; Streptophyta; Magnoliopsida; Poales; Poaceae.